AUUGAACGCUGGCGGCAGGCCUAACACAUGCCAGUCGAGCGGAUGAAGGGAGCUUGCUCCUGGAUUCAGCGGCGGACGGGUGAGUAAUGCCUAGGAAUCUGCCUGGUAGUGGGGGAUAACGUCCGGAAACGGGCGCUAAUACCGCAUACGUCCUGAGGGAGAAAGUAGGGGAUCUUCGGACCUCACGCUAUCAGAUGAGCCUAGGUCGGAUUAGCUAGUUGGUGGGGUAAAGGCCUACCAAGGCGACGAUCCGUAACUGGUCUGAGAGGAUGAUCAGUCACACUGGAACUGAGACACGGUCCAGACUCCUACGGGAGGCAGCAGUGGGGAAUAUUGGACAAUGGGCGAAAGCCUGAUCCAGCCAUGCCGCGUGUGUGAAGAAGGUCUUCGGAUUGUAAAGCACUUUAAGUUGGGAGGAAGGGCAGUAAGUUAAUACCUUGCUGUUUUGACGUUACCAACAGAAUAAGCACCGGCUAACUUCGUG
RNAcentral lists this ribosomal RNA (484 nucleotides) under uncultured bacterium. Its description in RNAcentral is "partial 16S ribosomal RNA". It matches the Rfam family "Bacterial small subunit ribosomal RNA", at positions 30 to 507 of the family's 1533-position model. The record is from RNAcentral.